Long non-coding RNA from Drosophila grimshawi, 129 nucleotides. It matches the Rfam family "Bithoraxoid conserved region 4". Rfam says of the family: Bithoraxoid (bxd) is a long non-coding RNA found in Drosophila. It silences the expression of the Ultrabithorax (Ubx) gene by transcriptional interference. The record is from Rfam. Lineage: Eukaryota; Metazoa; Arthropoda; Insecta; Diptera; Drosophilidae.
GAGUGGGCAAUGUGAGAAAAUGUCUUGCACAAGCCAAAAACAAAAAAAAAUAUACAAAAGCAAAGAAGGUAUAAAGGUAAAUGGGUGAAAUGCUUAAGAAAAUCAACUCGACAAGCAGCCAGAGGAAUG